RNAcentral lists this ribosomal RNA (366 nucleotides) under uncultured bacterium. Its description in RNAcentral is "bacterial SSU rRNA". It matches the Rfam family "Bacterial small subunit ribosomal RNA", at positions 525 to 895 of the family's 1533-position model. The record is from RNAcentral.
ACGGAGGAUCCAAGCGUUAUCCGGAAUCAUUGGGUUUAAAGGGUCCGUAGGCGGUUUAUUAAGUCAGUGGUGAAAGCCCGCAGCUCAACUGUGGAACGGCCAUUGAUACUGAUAGACUUGAAUUACUGGGAAGUAACUAGAAUAUGUAGUGUAGCGGUGAAAUGCUUAGAUAUUACAUGGAAUACCAAUUGCGAAGGCAGGUUACUACCAGUGGAUUGACGCUGAUGGACGAAAGCGUGGGGAGCGAACAGGAUUAGAUACCCUGGUAGUCCACGCCGUAAACGAUGGAUACUAGCUGUUGGGCGCAAGUUCAGUGGCUAAGCGAAAGUGAUAAGUAUCCCACCUGGGGAGUACGUUCGCAAGAAU